RNAcentral lists this non-coding RNA (19 nucleotides) under Arabidopsis thaliana (thale cress). The record is from RNAcentral. Lineage: Eukaryota; Viridiplantae; Streptophyta; Magnoliopsida; Brassicales; Brassicaceae.
UGAUGUGUCAAGUUGUGGA